RNAcentral lists this ribosomal RNA (79 nucleotides) under Hippocampus comes (tiger tail seahorse). The record is from RNAcentral. Lineage: Eukaryota; Metazoa; Chordata; Actinopteri; Syngnathiformes; Syngnathidae.
UCUCUCUGCAACUAAGUCGGGUCAGGCCUGUUUAGGACUUAGAUGAGAGAGCACCUGGGAAUACCAGGUGCUGGAAGCU